Molecule: ribosomal RNA, 492 nt
Filed under: uncultured bacterium
Lineage: Bacteria
Description: partial 16S ribosomal RNA
Rfam family: Bacterial small subunit ribosomal RNA
Source: RNAcentral
AGUGAACGCUGGCGGUAGGCCUAACACAUGCAAGUCGAACGGCAGCACAGUAAGAGCUUGCUCUUACGGGUGGCGAGUGGCGGACGAGUGAGGAAUACAUCGGAAUCUACUUUUUCGUGGGGGAUAACGUAGGGAAACUUACGCUAAUACCGCAUACGACCUACGGGUGAAAGCAGUGGAUCUUCGGACCUUGCGCGAUUGAAUGAGCCGAUGUCGGAUUAGCUAGUUGGCGGGGUAAAGGCCCACCAAGGCGACGAUCCGUAGCUGGUCUGAGAGGAUGAUCAGCCACACUGGAACUGAGACACGGUCCAGACUCCUACGGGAGGCAGCAGUGGGGAAUAUUGGACAAUGGGCGCAAGCCUGAUCCAGCCAUACCGCGUGGGUGAAGAAGGCCUUCGGGUUGUAAAGCCCUUUUGUUGGGAAAGAAAAGCAGCAGGUUAAUACCCCGCUGUUCUGACGGUACCCAAAGAAUAAGCACCGGCUAACUUCGUG